This 543-nucleotide ribosomal RNA is filed under the name Triticum aestivum (bread wheat). Its description in RNAcentral is "partial small subunit ribosomal RNA". The record is from RNAcentral. Lineage: Eukaryota; Viridiplantae; Streptophyta; Magnoliopsida; Poales; Poaceae.
AUGGACGGGCCUUGGGCGUGGGAGGAGCACAUGCCGGCGAUAGCGAAUCACGGGUAUUGGGCAUGGGGGGAGCACAUGGCGGCGGCGAUCGCGGGCGGCGACGAGAAAAAGAUGACAAUGCUUCGCCAUAUCUACAUGUGGUACAAGGAUGCGAAGGAGAUGCAUCGGGAUUCUCGCCUGGUGAUUCGAGAGGCUUUGAAGGAGGAACAAAUUCAUAUCAAGGGGAAGUCCCCACUCGAGAUCAUCUAUUGGGCGAUGAUGGAGGGGAAAUCCGAUGAUCUGGGGCGCGCAUGGUGGAAACCCUACGCGUCACGCGAUUGGGUUUUCUCCGCCCUAGACAGGGAUGAUUUGGGGGUGGUGAUCAUGACAGUGAGGUCGUCGCCACGCAGUCGGGCGAUGCCCGUCGUGACCGACGACGGCGUGCGGGUGGUGCCGAGGCAGAAGGUGGCCCGGGUGGUUUCACAACUGCCACGUCGCUCUCCUCGGUUCCCCCGACGUUCUGCACGGAUCCAGUCGCUUGCACGGAGCGUCGACGAUGAAUAG